Molecule: ribosomal RNA, 75 nt
Filed under: Psychrobacillus faecigallinarum
Lineage: Bacteria; Bacillati; Bacillota; Bacilli; Caryophanales; Bacillaceae
Description: Psychrobacillus sp. Sa2BUA9 partial 16S ribosomal RNA
Rfam family: Bacterial small subunit ribosomal RNA
Source: RNAcentral
AUUAUGGAGAGUUUGAUCCUGGCUCAGGACGAACGCUGGCGGCGUGCCUAAUACAUGCAAGUCGAGCGAAUGAUG